GGUUAAGUGACUAAGCGUACACGGUGGAUGCCUUGGCAGUUGGAGGCGAUGAAGGACGUAUUAACUNCUUGGCAGUUGGAGGCGAUGAAGGACGUAUUAACUUGCGAUAAGCUUAGUCAAGCUAGUAAAAAGCGCUUGAGACUAAGAUUUCCGAAUGGGGAAACCCACCUGCUUGCAGGUAUCGUUAACUGAAUACAUAGGUUAACGAGGCGAACGCGGAGAACUGAAACAUCUAAGUACCCGUAGGAAAAGAAAUCAACCGAGAUUCCGAAAGUAGCGGCGAGCGAAAUCGGAACAGCCCUUAAGCUUAUUAUGUGUUAAUGGAAGGCUGCUGGAAAGCGCCACGAUACAGGGUGAUAGUCCCGUACAUGAAAAGACAUUUUAAGUGAAAUCGAGUAGGUCGGAGCACGUGAAACUUUGACUGAAUAUAGGUGGACCAUCAUCUAAGGCUAAAUACUCCCAACUGACCGAUAGUGAACCAGUACCGUGAGGGAAAGGCGAAAAGAACCCCUGUGAGGGGAGUGAAAUAGAACCUGAAACCGUGUACGUACAAGCAGUAGGAGCCCACUUGUUGGGUGACUGCGUACCUUUUGUAUAAUGGGUCAGCGACUUAUAUUUUGUAGCGAGGUUAACCGAAUAGGGGAGCCGUAGGGAAACCGAGUCUUAACUGGGCGAAUAGUUGCAAGGUAUAGACCCGAAACCCGGUGAUCUAGCCAUGGGCAGGUUGAAGGUUGAGUAACAUCAACUGGAGGACCGAACCCACUAACGUUGAAAAGUUAGGGGAUGACCUGUGGCUAGGAGUGAAAGGCUAAUCAAACCGGGAGAUAGCUGGUUCUCCCCGAAAUCUAUUUAGGUAGAGCCUCGGACGAAUACUUACGGGGGUAGAGCACUGUUAAGGCUAGGGGGUCAUCCCGACUUACCAACCCUUUGCAAGCUCCGAAUACCGUAAAGUAAUAUCCGGGAGACACACGGCGGGUGCUAACGUCCGUCGUGAAGAGGGAAACAACCCAGACCGCCAGCUAAGGUCCCAAAGUCAUAGUUAAGUGGGAAACGAUGUGGAAAGGCCCAGACAGCCAGGAGGUUGGCUUAGAAGCAGCCAUCCUUUAAAGAAAGCGUAAUAGCUCACUGGUCGAGUCGGUCUGCGCGGAAGAUGUAACGGGGCUAAACUAUGCACCGAAGCUGCGGAUUCAGAAU
This 1194-nucleotide ribosomal RNA is filed under the name Pseudoalteromonas sp. NZS71_1. RNAcentral describes it as "partial 23S ribosomal RNA". It matches the Rfam family "Bacterial large subunit ribosomal RNA", at positions 1 to 1214 of the family's 2925-position model. The record is from RNAcentral. Lineage: Bacteria; Pseudomonadati; Pseudomonadota; Gammaproteobacteria; Alteromonadales; Pseudoalteromonadaceae.